GACGAACGCUGGCGGCGUGCUUAACACAUGCAAGUCGAACGGAAAGGCCCCUUUGGGGGUACUCGAGUGGCGAACGGGUGAGUAACACGUGAGUAACCUGCCCUUGACUUCGGGAUAACUUCAGGAAACUGGGGCUAAUACCGGAUAGGAAUCCUUGCUGCAUGGUGGGGGUUGGAAAGCUUCGGCGGUUUUGGAUGGACUCGCGGCUUAUCAGCUUGUUGGUGGGGUAGUGGCUUACCAAGGCUUUGACGGGUAGCCGGCCUGAGAGGGCGACCGGCCACCUUGGGACUUAGGGGCGGCCCCAGCUCCUAAGGGAGGCCACAGGGGGGAAUACUGCACCAUGGGCGGAAGGCUGGUGCAGCAACGCCGCGGGCGGGAAGGCCGCCUUCGGGUUGUAAAACGGUUUCAGGAGGGGCGAAGCUUGUGGUGACGGUACCUGCAGAAGAAGCACCGGCUAACUACGUG
This 465-nucleotide ribosomal RNA is filed under the name uncultured bacterium. RNAcentral describes it as "partial 16S ribosomal RNA". It matches the Rfam family "Bacterial small subunit ribosomal RNA", at positions 28 to 507 of the family's 1533-position model. The record is from RNAcentral.